GACGAACGCUGGCGGCGUGCUUAACACAUGCAAGUCGAGCGAUGAAUUUUCUUCGGAAAUGGAUUAGCGGCGAACGGGUGAGGAACACGUGAAGAAUCUGCCCUCCACUUUGGGAUAACACAGGGAAACCUGUGCUAAUACCGAAUAUUGAAACAUAAGUGGCAUCACUGAGUUUUGAAAGAAUUUCGGUGGAGGAUGACUUCGCGGCCUAUCAGCUAGUUGGUGAGGUAAUGGCUCACCAAGGCAACGACGGGUAGCCGGCCUGAGAGGGCGAACGGCCACACUGGGACUGAGACACGGCCCAGACUCCUACGGGAGGCAGCAGUGGGGAAUAUUGGGCAAUGGAGGAAACUCUGACCCAGCGACGCCGCGUGCGGGAUGAAGGCCUUCGGGUUGUAAACCGCUUUCAGUAGGGAAGAAGCGAAAGUGACGGUACCUACAAAAGAAGCACCGGCUAACUAUGUGCCAGCAGCCGCCGUAA
RNAcentral lists this ribosomal RNA (481 nucleotides) under uncultured bacterium. Its description in RNAcentral is "partial 16S ribosomal RNA". It matches the Rfam family "Bacterial small subunit ribosomal RNA", at positions 28 to 523 of the family's 1533-position model. The record is from RNAcentral.